This 562-nucleotide ribosomal RNA is filed under the name uncultured bacterium. Its description in RNAcentral is "partial 16S ribosomal RNA". It matches the Rfam family "Bacterial small subunit ribosomal RNA", at positions 355 to 1375 of the family's 1533-position model. The record is from RNAcentral.
UGGGGAAUAUUGGACAAUGGGCGCAAGCCUGAUCCAGCCAUGCCGCGUGAGUGAUGAAGGCCUUAGGGUUGUAAAGCUCUUUCGCCGGUGAAGAUAAUGACGGUAACCGGAGAAGAAGCCCCGGCUAACUUCGUGCCAGCAGCCGCGGUAAUACGAAGGGGGCUAGCGUUGCUCGGAAUCACUGGGCGUAAAGCGCACGUAGGCGGAUCGUUAAGUCAGGGGUGAAAUCCUGGAGCUCAACUCCAGGAACUGCCCUUGAUACUGGCGAUCUCGAGUUCGAGAGAGGUUGGUGGAACUCCGAGUGUAGAGGUGAAAUUCGUAGAUAUUCGGAAGAACACCAGUGGCGAAGGCGGCCAACUGGCUCGAUACUGACGCUGAGGUGCGAAAGCGUGGGGAGCAAAACAGGAUUAGAUACCCUGGUAGUCCACGCCGUAAACGAUGGAUGCUAGCCGUUGGGGGGUUUACCUCUCAGUGGCGCAGCUAACGCCUUAAGCAUCCCGCCUGGGGAGUACGGUCGCAAGAUUAAAACUCAAAUGAAUUGACGGGGUCAUAGCUGUUUCCU